AUUAAAUUUAUCAGUUGCUCUGACUUCUCAAAAUCGCGCAGCUUCUACUGUGUGAAACCGAUUGCUUAAAGCAAGCUCAAUAGCACCUUGCCACUGAUAUUAUUCAAUCUGUGACCUGCACAUUUCUUGGAACAUGUUUAAAUACUGAGAGUUUAACAAGAGAAGAGUUCCUAGAUGUCCAUAAAAAAGGGUGAACUGUGGCCCUGUGUGCUAAGAAUAUGCACCAUUUAGCAACUUGUUGAUGUAGUUAAACUCAUUGUGGAUUUAACUCUUAAUAACACAUGUUUGUAUGAAGAACACUUGAAAAUGACAAGUUGAAUAAACAGUCAACUUUUUAAUUGAGAAGCACAAAAUUAAGUAGUUUUAAGAAGCAAGAAUCCUGACAGAUUUUUGUAGCAUUUUUUAAAACUAGCACCUCUAUUCUGGGCAUUCAUGUUCUCUAAUGGAGAUCAGGCACAUAUUCAAAGUGGUUUUAUAGGUACAUUUCCUUACAUUGAAUAGGCACAAUGGAUUUUAAACAGUUUCAUAGCAACGGAUGGUUCAUGAUGGCCAUUAACCUAGAUAAGUGAAUUUCAGUUUGUUGCAUCCUUAAUGGUCUGUGGGUAAAAAAAUCUUUCUCUUCAUCUGUUUCUAAGAAUUUUAUUGUAAUUUUUCUUUCACAAUUGUAUUUUACAGAGCAGAUUCAUGUGAAUUUUUGCAAUCAGGAGAAAAAAAAAAAAAAGCAUUCAAGAAAAGGUAAGAAGAACAUUUACAACCAAAGAAAUGUACAUUUCUCUGGAAUUUAGUACUGAUAGCAUAGCCUAGCAAGUAAUCAAAACUUUUGAAAAGUUGAGUACGCACCUUGACAUCAGCUUAAAAUGCAUUCCUAAAGAUUUUCAGAUGAUUGUUCCUAUACCUGUUGAAACAGAGCCAGCUGGACUUCAGAAAUGCGGCCUGAUGUUUGAUUUCUGGUACGCCGCUCCUUGGUGCUGCUGGGACAUACCAUAUCUAUCGCUUCUGGAAAAGAACGCCCUGCCCACAACACACUGCUACUGCCAGGGCAGAGGAGGAAAGCCCCAUGACAGCCGAUGGAGUUACUGCCAAGCCCUGAGAAGGGCAAGACCCAGGACCUGGGAUUUUGUGAUUAAGGCCAGGUGCCGUGAACCUGGGCCUGGGCAGCUGUGCUGGCAGAGCCCCCUAGCAGAGCUGCAGCGCUGGCUGCGGGAGGACAGCUGUAAAUCUCAGAGGAAGUUGCACCAUCUCUCCUCGUGACAAAGGCUUGGCAGAAGUGCCUCACCCACCCUGCUCACGGAGGCAGAACAGGCAGAGCCGUUGUGUCAACACAGCAUGUGCACAGGGGGCUGUGACUUCCCUGCCCUGCACAGAGGCCUGGCACGGUGCAGGCAUUUGGGAAGAACCCAGCAGCACAUGCGUAGGCUGAGGGACAUUCCCAUAUUCUCCUAGAUUACUAAAUGGCAGCAUGAGCUGUGUUUUGAAAGUACUGCUUCAGUGUACUGGGAUUUUAAGUUCUUUACAGAGAGAGUGGUGAGGUGCUGGAACAGGCUGCCCAGAGAGGUUGUGGAUGCUCUGUCCCUGGAAGUGUUGAAGGCCAGAUUGGAUGGGGUCCUGUGCAGCCUGGUUCUAGUAUUACAUGGGUGUUGGUGGCCCUGCAUGUGGCAGGGGGGUUGGAGAUUUAUGUUCCUUGAGGUCCUUUCCAACCCUGGCCAUUCUGUGAUUCUGUGAUGUAUUACAUGGUAUCUUGGUCUGUCUGCACAUAGUGCGUAUUUGCAUGAACCUUAAUGAGAAUGACAAAAGUAAGAAGCAAGUUUAAAGAAAAUUGGAUUAAAUGACUUAAUUCUCCACAGUUGAAGACUUUAAAUUUUAAUCAAGUCUUGAGUCUGAGACUAAUAACUUAGAGUGAAUGUUUAAAAUGACUGAAAUCUAAAACUAAACAUGUAUAUCUAAUGUGCAUUAGCACUGAUGUGUUUGCAUAGCAGCAGUUCCCUAAAGUGUGCACAUUGGCAUGACAGAUUUUGAAGGCCAGCAUAGGCUUUGCGUAAAGCUCUGGAUUGGGGUUCACUGUGUUUUGGCCAAGCUGUGCCUCAGCCGUUAUUCUGUGCUCAUGCAAACCCCGAGGCCUGUGUGCUGUGGAGCACCUUAAUGAAACACUUUGGUGAUUAUGUUCACAAAGAUGGGGCACUGCAGUGCCAACUCUAGCCAUGCUUAAUGUGCAGAACAGACAAAAGGCUGUUAAAUUCUCUGCUGUCCACCUGAAAUACAAUCUUUACAGAAGAAAACAACAGCAACAACAACAAAACCCAAACCAAACAAACAAGCAAACAAACAAAAACAUGGGACAGAUGGUUUGGAUUCCAGUCUGUUAGGCCUCUUGCCACAAGGCCCUUUGACCUCUUGAGUACUUGAGACUUGAUAAUAACAUAAAGUCUCUGGAUUUCAAAGCUUCUUUCAUUUGCAGGUUUUUUUCCACAUGGCUCCUGUAGGUUGGAGGGACUUUGCAUUAGUCCGAAAUAGAUUGCUGAUGGACAGUGGAACUUCUGAACCCCAGAUCCCUGCAGCUAGCUCAUGCCAUACUUAAGAUCCUUCUCACACAGGGUUCUUCUCACAGGAACACUGCACCUUACGUACAGAAUCUACUUAUCAACAGUUAAAUCACCUUGCAGAGUGAGGCUCCUGGUUUAUGUGCUGUGCAACGUGGGGGCAGGACCCACGAGUUUAAAAGCAGAGGCAAGGACCUUUGUCACAGUGGCUGUGCCCUUGUGGCUCUGCUUGCCUGAUGCAUCAGAGACAAACAUGCAACUCCCCAUGUCCUGGCCAGCUUGGAAACUUGGCUGCUGAGCAGAAGACAGCCUCACAUAUAGUAAAGGUAGGUAUCAUUUAUCCCCUGGUAGCUCUGCCUUGUUAAGUGAUAAAAACAGUUCAUUAACAUGAACUAUGGCAUUGUGAGGUGAUUGAGGAGAACACCAAUGCAGGACCAAGAGCAAGGGCUGGGAGAAAUGUGGUCGUACUGCUCCAGUGCUGGUAGGGACCCUUAUCUUUACUCAGGACUUUCGGUGUGUCUGUGCUGAGUGAUGCCUUAGCUUUGAAUUCACUGCUCGUGUUGGAAAAGAUGAUUCUAUCAUUACAAGGAAAACCUCGUUGUUAGUCUUAGGUCUAUAUGAAAGCUCCUCCUGUAACCCACUCCUCUGCUCUGGUGGACACAUGUAUUAUCAUUGCUUCCAUAUAACUCAUCUGGACAUGUGUCUAUAUUUUCACCCUUCCCAUUCCUGUUGUGCCAUGCUUAUGAUAUGGUAUCACAGAUGCAACCCAUCAUUAUGUGACUCACGCUGCAAGUCAAUGCAUGUAACCACAGGCAUGCAGAGUGUGAAUAGAUAUCAGGCACUGAUACUAUUAUAGCUUACUCUGCAGUUUGCUCAUGUACUGGCUGUUGGGAGCAGUAAAUGCCCUACCUCAGUGUGGAAUAUACCUGCACUGCCUACAGAGACCACAUGCACAACUCCAGGUAAGUUUAGGACCUGAUCAUGAGUUGUCCACAGCAAAGCAUCGGAAACCAGGUGAUGUCAUCAGCCAAAGGGAUCCACUUUCUCAAACUGGCUAACAAGAACAAGCAGAUACAUGUUAUGUUUUGCUCUGAUAUAAUAAGCACUGUGAAGAUAUUAGCUGUUUUCUGAUUGAGUAAAGGUGUGUACUACACAUAAAACUCCAGCAAACAAAAUUGUUCUGAAAUUAUCUAACUAGGAUGUCACUGCAAAGGGAAAUGGCAUAUUCCAUAUAUUCCAAUAUAUUCCAAUAUUCCAUUCAGGGGAGGGCAGUUGAGCUCUUAAUCCAAUAACAAGCUCAUUCUUAUUUGUGCCUUCACUACCUGGAAGCAGAGGGCAGCACACAUCUGUGCUUGAGAUAGGUCUGGUGCUGUGGGACAUUUGGAGUCAUAGAGAUACAGCUGGCACAGCUGGCUCUAUCCUUCCCACUUGCCAGCAAGCUCACUGCUCUCUUCAUGAGACGAAGGAACUUGUUGACCACUUCCCCAGUGCUGAUGCAGAGCUGGAUAAUUGCAGUGGUUACUGUGGUUAGACUGUAGUGUAUUUUUUCAUACUCUCCUUGUGAAAUGUUGCAGCUCAACCCACCUUUUACUCCUGGCAGAUGAUAGAUGUGCAGGCUGUACAAAUGGGUGCAGCAGGAGUCAACUUACGUUUUUUUUUCCUUCACAACUAGGUUGUAUUCUUCACCUUGUGUGAACCAGCAGGGCAGCAAAGUAGGCAGUGAGUCUGAUACAAUCGGGUCAGAUUUAGCAUUUAAUUUAUCCUCUCAUACUCAAUAACAUUCUCUGAUUACUGAGUUGAAAUAAACAAGAAUCAAUGACAAGCAAACAAAGGAUCAGUGAUCUUGUAAUUUUUGUUUUGUUUGUUUUGUAUUUUGCUGAUAUUUUUUGAUACAAAUCUUAAGGCAAAUAUUAAGAAAGAAACAGAAGGAACAAAAUAUAUGCUUUGAAUGUUGUUACUAAACAACCUCAGGAUUAUUAUUUUUUAAUAACUUUCUUAAAGUAGACAAUUUCAAUGUCUCUCUUAGUUUAGUUAUAGCACAAAAUGAACUAAGGAACUGAUAAUGUGUAAGUUCUGUACCAAAGCCUGCUAUUAGUUGUUCAGAACAUGACUGCUGAAGAGCAAACUGUCCAAUAUGCCAAACUUCAGGGAGAUUUAGAUUAAAAAAAACAAUUCUACAAAGCACAGAAAUCAAUUUUCAUUUGAAAAAUGUGCUUUGAACAAUGCCAAAGAUCAAAAGAAUUUCAAAAGUCUUGUUUGUAGAAGGGAUAAAUACAUCCCUCUUCUCUCCUUUGUCACCUUUUGCUUCCACUGAACCUGGAAAACUUUUUGACCAAAUUAUUUGGCUUACUUGCUCCAAUGCAGAAUUUCACUGUAGCAUGUUGCUGCAAGUGCCGCUCACUCAGCAUGGUUGAUCCAGCCAGUAGUUAGACCCAGAAGCUGAGAGGGAUUCUGUGUCAAUUAGCACAAUUUCAGCAAGCUCAGCUGUUGGAAUUUUCCUUUGUAUAGGGCAGAGGAGGCGAUGGCACUCCUCACUCACUGGGUGUGAAGCUCAGGUAAGUCCUGUUGAUGAGGUACUUGAACAAACUCCUAAAAAAAAACACCUUUCAGCUGGAAUGUGGAAAAGAAACCAGAAGAAUGAGAAAACAGGAAUGCCUUUGCAAUAUUGGUAUGUAGUGCAAUGCUUUCUUUUCCUUUAUAAAGUGAUUAGCAUUCUGCUAAGGUCUUUAUUACAAUAGAAUCACAGAAUUACAGAAUCAUAGGGGUUGGAAGGGACCUAUGGGAACCAUCUAGCCCAAGCCCCCUGACAGAGCAGGUUCCCUAGAGUAGGUUGCACAGAUCUCUUUUUUAGCAGAUGACUUCAGGAUUAUGAUUAACAAUUCUCUGCCUCACGGAUAAAUCUUUCAAUGUAUGCUGAGGUUACAUUACCAACAUAAGGUUACAUUUGUUGUUUAUGGGUAGUUUACUUGGAAUGAAGUGCUUUACAGUGAUUUUGUAAGCCCUCAGAACACUUCUGGAAGUGUUAUUAAGCAGUGCUUAAGAAAUUCUGGAAACAAAGCAAAACUGGGCAGUGUACAAGCCAGUCUUUCUCUGUAUGGGAGAUUUCUCAGAAAUGGAAAGAAAUUCUGAAAGCAAUGGGUCAAAUGUUCUGUUGUCAUUGCUGUACUAUUCUGUUGGAAAUAACUUUCCUCAUUAGAAACAAAUGCAAAAUUUUGCAUGAAGCUUUUUCUCAGCUAAUUUAGAACAGGCUCUUUCAUGUGUUUAUUCCUAAAGGAUGCAAAACAUUUCUAUUGCAAUGAAAGAUGGAGUUGAUGAGUACCUUGCAAGACUGGGCCACCAUUACUUCAAGGAUGAUCCCAUAUUCUGGGGACCUCAGGAAGUGCACCAAUGCAGUCUACUCAGUGACUUGCUAAAUAAAUAAGUGCUAAAUCACAUCAACCUCUGCAAGAAGUCAGGAAAAAAUGGAAAAUGUGUCGCUGCUGUCAUCCCAAGUUUUGUUUGCAUUUAUUUACAUUAAAGCUGUUGUUUCUGUAGGACUUUUGAGGCUGAUUUUGUUCUUGUCUCUUCUGGGCUUCAAGAAUAUAUUGUAAGUACUAUGUCAAGUCUCAGUGUUGCUUGUAUUACAUCUACAUACUGCAAAAUCAUGUGGUCUGAAUUAUGCUCCUAGGAAAGCAUAUUAGCAUCUAAAGCCAUAAGUUUAUAAUUUUCAGUUUAGCCAUCAUGCAUUUUAAAUAUAUAUAUAUUAUUAUCAUUAUUAUUAUUUGCAUGUGUUAACAUUAGCUACUAGAAGAAAUAUUAAAAGGAUACAAAGCUUUGAAAGUCAAUCAGUAAAACACAAUUCUAGUAUUUUCUGGAUAGAAUUUGUGCAAUUUUUGCUUCCUUUGGGUUUGUGCAUUGCAAUCAGUCUUUAAUUAAGAGAACACAUACUUUGUUUUUGUACUUGCUGAUAGAUCUAUUCUCUUGAAAUUCUUUUAAGUCAGACACCUGGCAUGGAAACAUAGUUCAUAUAGAUGGCACAUUAAUGAGCCCAGUAUUUGAUUUUAUCUUUGUGUUCAUUGAGUGUCUAAUGCCGUAUUAAUUUCACAUUGUGCAAAGUUGGUUUAAUUCAGAAUUAUUUGUUUCCUUAUGACCAUUUCUUUUAUGGUCAUCAUUAGAGUAUCCAGCUGUUUCACAAGCAGUAAUGAACUUCUGACAUACUACUUUGCUGCAAUGAAGAGUAUUAUUAGUCCAAUUUUUUCAGAUAAUAAACUGAAGCAGAGGAAUAUAAAUAAUGACUAACUACAGAUUUUGGACACUGAGUAGGAAAAAAAUAAAACCACUAUCAUCAGAUUCUGGUGCAGUCUUUUGUUCAUGGCACAGUCCUCACUGAUGUAAUGUGUGAGGACCCAGUGCUCCUGCACAACAAAGGUACAGUCUUGAUUCAAAUGAAGAGAGCAAAAGUGAAGCAAAUGAAGUUUUAAGUACCUUGCCUCACACAGCAGCUCUGUCAGUCAGUGGCAGAUUUCAGGCCUCCAGGCCAGUGUUCAGCUGUCUUAACUAUGAAAUCAAUUUUUAUUUUACUGCAGUUUGUUCUCUUGAGUGGUACAUGCAUUCCACCUAGAGUUAGGGUGGAAAUUGCUUUCCAGUUCCUCGCACAUUUUCAGGUCUUUGGUAUCAGCCCAGCUUCACAAUGGGACGCUUGUUGAAACCCUUCAAGGACAUCCUGGGAGAACCAGAGCUGCUCAGCUGAGCCUGGGGAGGAAUCACAGGGUUGCUGGCCUUCUGGAGCUUGACCUCUUCCAUUCUGCUGCCUCAGCCAGCCUGCUUGCACUCUGUCUGGCCUAAUAGAGCACCUCUGUUUUAUGUGAAGAAGAAAGAACUCCUCCAGCUGUGUCAGAUCUGUCUCAUGUCCCUGCCGUGGGGCGAUGAGAAAUGUUCAUCAAAGGGGUGCUGCCCUGUGGGUGUCCGCAGUAAAAGGAGACUGAUGCCUUCCUCUCUGCUUCUCUGUUGCAGCCAGGGGUCAGAUCCACACCGCCUCAGCCUUGUUUCAUGUCCAGCUCUGGAGUCAGAGCACCUGAGACUAGCAAUUGCAGGGAAAGCCUUGUUUUAGCCUUCUUUAUCCUGGGGUCAGGAAGAAUGUUGGCUUAGCACGAACAGAAAAUGCUAUUGAUCAACUGCUACUAAGCAUACGCAAUCAGAAUUUUUCUCAAUUAUUAACAACUUGGCUACAUUUGAACAUUAUACCCCUCCACACACAUAGAUGCACUACGAAAGGGUUAUCCAUCACACAAAGGCUAUUCAGUGCGAAAUUUUACUUCCUUGCCUCAAGUUGUCAUACUGCCAGAAAUUAUUGACAGAACUGUAGUAAAUUUGUAGUAAAUAGUAUGACUGGCAAAUAAUAUAUUUUCUGCUGACUUUAUUAUUGGAAAAAACUGGACAAUCCAUGCUGACACCCUUUUGGAAACCAGACAUGAAAAAUUCCAUUCUCCACACUUAAAUUUUGCAAGAGUUAUGACUGAAAUGAAGGGUUUGUGUUGGGAAGAGCUUUGCAGCAUUAACAGCAUAGAGCCUUGACCAUUUGAUUCAUAAUUGCUUUUCUCAAAUUUUGAGCUGUGACUCACCAGUGCCCCUAACUUUCCAAGAGUCAGCAUCCCUGGCAAGUCACCAGGUAGUCUAUGAUACUAGUAUGAAGACAGUACUGCUGAAAACAUGUGAAAGUAUAUAAUGAUAAAAUUAAAAGUAGAAAUGCAUUUUCUGUGCAAUUUCCACAAUAUGUGUAGUGAAAUCUUUCAGUUUGCUCAUAUCUCUGGAAAGAGCAGUAAUAGUGAAUCAGAUGUGAUUUUUCUUACUGAACAUAUGAUGGGGUCAUCAUAUGUUAUUUGCAGUUGAUAAGUUUCAGUUGUAGAAUCAAUGUAUUUACAGAUUUGUUUCAUUUUAAUGAUGUUAAUUUGAGGUGAGAACCACACAGACUAUAAGAUCAUUAACACUGGUCCUGUCCUCAUUUGAAAAAAAUCAGUAUGUAUUUCUUUGGUCAAAUAAUUUGUGGAGAGAGAAUAGAGGGAAUACUGUGUAAGUGUGGUACAAGUGCUGUUUCUUUGACUUUGCUCAAAGAAACAUCAAGUGAAAUGACACUCUAACUUACCUUGCAAGCUUAUUAUUAUGGUAGAAUUUGCUUUAAAUAGCCAAAGAUCCCAAUGAUUGGAGGUGGUUCUUCAGCUUCAGGUAAAGACAAUAAUUGAUAGAAUCAGUGCAGGAUUAUUUUAACAGCAUGGGGUUAAAAUGUGUGUAUUUUUACAUCUUUGGGAAUUGUCAAUCAUUUUGUACCUGUUUAUUUCACAGUCAGAUUCCAAUUACAGCCUACUGCUAGGAAACCUGGCAAUAAAAUUUGGAAAAUACAGCUUGAAAGAGGUUAUUAUGUACUGAGGUAUCAUCAGAAUAGUUGGUAUGUCUUUAGGAGGGGACAGGGGAGAGCAACACAAGUAGGUUGUUAUUCUUCUCACUUUCUAGGCAUGACCCAAAGAACUUCUCACAACUGGGAAGAUUACACCAAUGAAUUGCAGAAAGCAGAUUUGCACUCUGAGCACAUUCAUGCCUUGACUGUGGGUGUCGUGGUGAAAUAAAAAAAGAAGCCAGAUUGUUAUGAUAAUACCAAAUUGACAGGACAAGAUGUAACUAGAAGGGCCAACACCCUGAGGCACGUUUCAUCAACUUGGAACUCAAAAAUUUUAUCAUAGUAGGGUUCCUGUUUCUCACUUCUUGUUUACAAGCAGAACCCCAAAUAGACAAGAAAAAGCAUCAGCUGAAUCUGAAAGUUAAUGAAUACCUGGACGUCUUUACAGAGAUAGUUUUGCACAUAGUGCUGCAGACAAGUGCUUUUCAGAAGUGCCUCACAUCCUACUCCUACCAAUUUGAGUGGAGAUAUGGCAGCUGGCCUACUGCAACAUCUCUAAAAUUCCAUGCAAAUGAACUGUUUUAUUAGGCACCAAAUACUUUUGGAAAUCAGGCCCAUGAUGACCAGAAGCAAUCUGUCAGUUCACUAACAAGAGUUAGUAUUUCUUUUGUGUAAUAUAUUAGUUUUAAAGCAAAGCAUAGUUUAAAAACUUGUGUUGUUUUUUUUUUCAUCUGUAGACAACAGAUAAAGGGCCAUUGAUGUUACCUGCAGAAACUACUUUAACAAGCUCUUCUUGUGCAUUCUUAAACUUCUAGUCCUGUCACCUGAGCAGUGGCUCAUAGAAAAAUUCAAGAUAAAAAUUACAACCCAAAAACAUGUCUGUUGAUGGUGAAUGCAGUUAAAUCCAGCUGGCAACUGAUCACGAAUGGAGUUCUCCAUGGGUUGGAAUUGGAGUCUGUCCUGUUCAUUAUCUUUAUUGAUGACCUGGACAAGGGUUAAGUGCAUCCUCAGUAGGUUUGCAGAUGAUAUCAAGUUGGCAGAAAAUGUCAGUCUGCCAGGGGGUAGAAAGGCCCUACAGAGGGAUCUGGACAGUCUAGAUUGCUGGGGGAAGGCCAGUGGGAUGAAGUUCAACAAGAUCAAGUGCUGGGUCCUGCACUUUGGUCAAAACAUCCCCAGGCAAUGCAACAGGCUUGGGGCAGAGCAGCUGGAAGACUGUGUGGAAGAAAUGGACCUGGAGGCAUUGGUCAAUGCUCAGCUAA
This is a non-coding RNA of Phasianus colchicus (ring-necked pheasant), 10166 nucleotides long. The record is from RefSeq and is a predicted model, not a curated record. Lineage: Eukaryota; Metazoa; Chordata; Aves; Galliformes; Phasianidae.